UUGAUAUAUUCCACUUGAAAUCAGACGAUGAAAGGGAAAAUUCUGAUAGAGGGGUGUGAGAGCAACUAACAGUCCUGAUAUUCAUGUAUUUUGGUGUUUGUUUUGUUGUACAGUAUAUUCUGGUUUUGUUAAACUUAAUAAGCCGCUAAGCGUUUAUAAAGUACCAAUGCUCCCGUGGUUUCUAUGUGCUUGGGUUAUGGCUCUAUUCUCUUUUAUGUCCUCCAAUGAGUAGAAAAAAGGUGAAGAUUUUGUAAGAAUUGUCAUGUAUAACACUUUAGGUGGAGAAUUUGUUAAAAUCCUGUAAAAGUUGCUUAGGUCUCCUUUGCUUUACAUGGUCCAAUAGUACGAGGAGGUACGGGGUCAUGAAAAUAAAGAUUCAGACUUUGGUAAUGGAGUGAAAAGAAGGUAAGGAUGCACGUAGAAAGUGGGAAUUGGAAGAUAUAGGAGCAGGUGAGGAGGAGGAGAGGGUAAAAUUUGUAUGAUGUGCUCACUCAAAAGGAAAGAAGUAUUCAACAGUAGGUUGUUUAGUUCUUAACUGCACUCAAGCUUUUCCAAGAGCUUGUUUUUCACUCUUAACCUGGCUAUUGGUUGCUGAGAUUGACAUAUAUUUAAUUUCUGGCAGUGGUAUUGGUUGAGAUUGAAUUUUAUUGGUGAUGUUUCAUUAGCAUAUGUUCAUUCUCGGACGUUUGUCAUCUUUCCAAUAUUGUGAGAUUAGAAUACAAUCCAUUUCCGAUCAUCUCUUUUAGCUGCUUAUGUUGCAAUAAAGCAUCAUGAUAAUGCGAUAAAUAUCAUGUGCAGCUAUGUCAUGGGAAUUGGUGAAGAGAAACUGACUGUGGCACUACCAUAAUUACCUUUGAGGAAUACCUGGUUGUGCUAAGUCGGCCCUGUGCGAGGAUCUAUCGAGUGCCCCAGGUUCCAUCUCUCUCCGAUUCGCUCACGAUUAGUUAGUUAAUUCGCAAGUGUAAGGUUAUCCGAUGGCUGAGUCGGAGCAUGAAAUAGCACAUGUUACCCGUGACUUGGAAAAAGAUUUUGAGUUUAUGGUAGGAAUGGUUUUUACAAGUGAACUUGAAGCAUAUCAUAAAUAUGUAGCCUAUGCUAUAGGUAAAGGAUUUGGAGUGAGGAAGUCUAAGACUAGAAAAAACGACAAAGGAGAAAUAACUCGACGCACUUUUGUGUGUAAUUGUGAGGGUUAUUCUGCCAAGUCGUCUGAACAAGAAAGAAAAUAUGAAAGACUUGAAGUGAGAUGUGGCUGUCCUGCAUUUAUCAGAUUUAAGAUUGAGAAUGGUAUUUAUGAAGUCAUAGAGUAUGUUCCUGAGCAUAAUCAUGGAUUUAUACCUGAACAUCAAAGGCACUUGAUAAGAUGUGGAAGAAUGAUUUCUGAUACUUGCAAGGGUGUUUUGGUGGACAUGGCUAAGGCUGGUAUUGGAGGGACCAUGGCAUAUAAACUCUUGGCAAAUGAAGCAGGAGGAAGCCAAAACUUGGGUUUCAUCCUACGUGAUUGUCAAAAUUUUUUGCAAAGUGAAAGAUUGACUCAUAUAAGUGGCGGAGAUUGUCAAAGUCUUCUGAAUCAUUUUCAUUGCAUGCAAAUGCAAAAUCCUAUGUUUUUCUAUGCACAACAGGUAGAUCAAGAUGGUAGAUUGACAAAUCUAUUUUGGAGAGAUAGUUUGUCUAAAUUUGAUUAUGAUUGUUUCGGUGAUGUGGUGGUUUUUGAUACCACGUAUCGUACUAACAAGUAUAAUAUGAUAUGUGCACCUUUUGUUGGAAUUAAUCAUCAUUGGAAGAAUACUUUGUUUGGCUGUGCAUUUUUGUUGGAUGAGACCGCAAAUUCAUUUAUUUGGUUAUUUGAGAUGUUUUUGAAGUCUAUGGAAAAUAAGGCUCCAAAAACCAUUUUCACCGAUCAAGACGCAGCUAUGGCAAAAGCCAUUCGAACGGUGUUUCCGAAUACUCAACACCGUUUAUGCACAUGGCACAUUGGGAAAAAUGCCAAUCAAAACAUUCCAUAUCUUUACCACAAGUCAGAGUUCAAGGAUAAAUAUUUCUCAAAACUUAUGUAUAAGUGCAAAUCAGAGGAUGAAUUUGAAUGUACUUGGAGGAAAAUGGAAGAGGAGUGGGGUACUGAGAAUAACAGUUGGCUUCAGAGGUUAUACGGCCUUAGACAUAAAUGGAGUUCGGCUUUUGGUCGUGAAAUUUUUUCUUGUGGAAUAAGAUCAACUCAAAGGAGUGAGAGUACUAACAAUGUCUUCCAAAAAAUGUCAACUAAGACAUUGACCCUUGUAGAAUUUGUUCACCACUAUGAAGAACAGUUGAAACAUAUGAGAGAAAUUCAAGGUCAAGAUGAUUAUAAAUCUCGUGGGGCACCCAAAUCGCAGCUUGCGGAUAACAGGAUAGUGAAGCAUGCCGGUUUGGUGUAUACUCGUACCAUUUUUCAUAGGUUUCAUGAAGAAUUUCUUCAAGGUGUCUCCGAACUUGUUUCAAGUGAAGCUUUUGAUGGGGUAAUUUUGCACUACACUCUCGUACGUGAGGGGAUUACAGGUGAACAUGUUGUCAAAUUUAACCCUGUUGACUUUUCGGUUUCUUGUACGUGCAAACUAUUUGAAUCAAAUGGGUGGUUGUGUCGCCAUGCUUUGCACGUGUUGAAUAGGAAUAUAUCGGUUUCAGCCAUUCCAUCUUCCUAUAUAUUGAAAAGAUGGAGUAAGGGUGCAAAGCAAGGGUGUGUGAAUGAUGAAUCUCGUGAAAUGUCAUCGGGUCUUUCUACAUUUAAUCGAUUUUCCACGUUAAUGCGAAAUUCUUUUGAAGUGAUGAGUUUGGGAGCCCAAGAUGAAAAUACUAUGAGGAUAGCGAAGAAGAACUUGGAUGUAACAGUGGCUGAAAUUUCAGCAUACAACUCAAGUCUUGUUUUGAUAGAUGAUGCUAGUGAUGAUGAUAAUGAUGAGACUUCUUUGCCUGAGAUGCCGACAUUGGACCCCCUUCGAAAGAAAGGAAAGGGAACUACUUAUGGAAGGCUUAAAAGCUCAAGUGAGAAAAAGAAGAAAAAAUCUAAGAAAGGAACAUCCUCAAUGCUAAUAGAAAGUCGAGAGUUGGUUGUCCAAGCAACGGAGGAUGUGACUAAUUUACCAGAUUAUUCAAGAUAUUCAAAUCAGACUCAAAAUACCUUGCGUCCUACCAACAUUGGUGGUCCUAUAAUAAAUCUCAAUCUCCAUAAUCAGAUGCAACCACCAUAUAUCAUGCCGCCAGGGGGUGUAAAUGGAUUUUCCCCAUUCACUAGUCAGAUGUUGGCGUACCAUAAUAGAUCCCAUGGAAAUAUUUUGAGUCAGGGGCCAUCAAAUUUUUUUCCACAUCCUAGGAUGAAUGGAUUGAACGAUUUUGAAGGCAUAGACAAUGCACGGUCGCCUCAUAAUUCGUCGGAAGGUGGAAAAUAGCAUAAUGGAAUAUAGCAUCUAUAUGUUCCACAAGUGGUAGCGCCGCGUAUCAAAGAUCCUUAGCUUUGGGGACGACAUAGUGGUAGUAGAUACAACUUGCUCUUUUUAUGUGUAUAUGCCUUUUUCCAUCUUCACUUAUUUAUCACGAGCAGGAGGUCUCCAAGUUAAUGAAAUCGCCACUAUGUAGUUGAUCUAUUGCAGGUAGUCUAUAGCGAUGUCUAUAUGCUUGUGGCAUGAAAUGGAUGGUGAUCGGGAAGCUUCCUUACUGCGUCAAAACCGCAAUCGCAGGCUUUUGUGACGGUUGGAUCGAGGGCCAGAUAAUCCACAACCUAAGAUGGUCAUUGGAGACGUGGAGGACCAAAUUGAGACUCUAAUGCGAGUUAUGUGAAGUCGACCGUAUGAAGCAUUGUCUUAGCUUAGAUUUUUUUGCUUCUUUUUCACUCACAUUUUCUCUAGUAUAGCGUUUCUCCGACUCCAUGUCGAUCUAUUGAGUUGAUAUCGAUUUUGGCACAUCAUUUUGAUCUUAGCAGUGUUAAGGAAAACAGAAGCUAUAGAAAGGCUCAGAAUUAAGUUUGUGAAAUUAUUUGAAACAAGCAGACCUUUUGACAUUAAGUCUACAAGAAUUCUUUUUGCAUC
This is an RNA transcript of Syzygium oleosum, 4055 nucleotides long. It is a transcript of the gene named protein FAR1-RELATED SEQUENCE 5-like, with no coding region annotated. NCBI's taxonomy places the organism in Eukaryota, Viridiplantae, Streptophyta, Magnoliopsida, Myrtales, Myrtaceae. The record is from RefSeq and is a predicted model, not a curated record. The transcript has 8 exons.